RNAcentral lists this unclassified non-coding RNA (266 nucleotides) under Rhizophagus sp. (in: glomeromycetes). Its description in RNAcentral is "partial contains 5.8S ribosomal RNA and internal transcribed spacer 2". The stretch from base 1 to 71 matches the Rfam family "5.8S ribosomal RNA", at positions 84 to 154 of the family's 154-position model. Lineage: Eukaryota; Fungi; Glomeromycota; Glomeromycetes; Glomerales; Glomeraceae. The record is from RNAcentral.
GUGAAUCAUCGAAUUUUUGAACGCAAAUUGCGCUUCCUGGCAUUCCGGGGAGUAUGCCUGUUUGAGGGUCAGUAUUAAUAAAAAUCGGUGUGGUUACUAAUUGUGGCGGUUCCGGAGUUUGUGCUAUCUUAACUUUUUUGGUUAAGAGGCUUAAAAUUGACCUUUUUUGUGCAUUUUUAUAUGUACAUAAAUUUUUUUUAUUCUUCUAUUCUUAAUGCCAAAAUCUUAUUAGAUGCGAUCACAUCGUGUGGCUUCGUGACCAUAAA